CCUACGGGAGGCAGCAGUGAGGAAUAUUGGUCAAUGGGCGCUAGCCUGAACCAGUCAAGUAGCGUGAAGGAUGACUGCCCUAUGGGUUGUAAACUUCUUUUAUAUGGGAAUAACGUGCAGUAUGUAUACUGCUUCGCAUGUUCCUUAUGAAUAAGGAUUGGCUAACUCCGUGCCAGCAGCCGCGGUAAUACGGAGGGUCCGAGCGUUAUCCGGAUUUAUUGGGUUUAAAGGGAGCGUAAGCGGGUUGUUAAGUUCGUUGUGAAAGUUUGCGGCUCAACCGUAAAACUGCAGUUGAUACUGGCAUCCUUGAGUAGAAUAGAGGUAGGCGGAAUUCGUGGUGUAGCGGUGAAAUGCUUAGAUAUCACGAAGAACUCCGAUUGCGAAGGCAGCCUGCUGGACUGUAACUGACGCUGAUGCUCGAAAGUGUGGGUAUCGAACAGGAUUAGAUACCCUGGUAGUC
This 460-nucleotide ribosomal RNA is filed under the name uncultured bacterium. RNAcentral describes it as "partial 16S ribosomal RNA". It matches the Rfam family "Bacterial small subunit ribosomal RNA", at positions 338 to 795 of the family's 1533-position model. The record is from RNAcentral.